RNAcentral lists this ribosomal RNA (253 nucleotides) under uncultured bacterium. RNAcentral describes it as "partial 16S ribosomal RNA". It matches the Rfam family "Bacterial small subunit ribosomal RNA", at positions 524 to 776 of the family's 1533-position model. The record is from RNAcentral.
UACGGAGGGUGCAAGCGUUGCUCGGAAUUAUUGGGCGUAAAGCGCGCGCAGGUGGUAGGGUAAGUCAGUUGUGAAAUUCCUGGGCUUAACUUGGGGACUGCAAUUGAUACUGCCCUGCUCGAGUACGGAAGAGGGGAGCGGAAUUCCCAGUGUAGAGGUGAAAUUCGUAGAUAUUGGGAGGAACACCGGAGGCGAAGGCGGCUCCCUGGUCCGAUACUGACACUCAAGUGCGAAAGCGUGGGGAGCAAACAGG